RNAcentral lists this ribosomal RNA (253 nucleotides) under uncultured bacterium. Its description in RNAcentral is "partial 16S ribosomal RNA". It matches the Rfam family "Bacterial small subunit ribosomal RNA", at positions 524 to 776 of the family's 1533-position model. The record is from RNAcentral.
UACAGAGGGGGCAAGCGUUAUUCGGAAUUAUUGGGCGUAAAGGGCGCGUAGGCGGCCUGGCAAGUGGAAGGUGAAAUCCCUCGGCUUAACCGAGGAACUGCCCUCCAAACUGCUUGGCUUGAGUCCGGGAGAGGUGAGUGGAAUUCCCAGUGUAGCGGUGAAAUGCGUAGAUAUUCGCAAGAACACCAGUGGCGAAGGCGGCUCACUGGCCCGGUACUGACGCUGAGGCACGAAAGCGUGGGGAGCAAACAGG